This 236-nucleotide long non-coding RNA is filed under the name Actinidia chinensis (golden kiwifruit). Its description in RNAcentral is "long non-coding RNA (ACHI_LNC000337)". Lineage: Eukaryota; Viridiplantae; Streptophyta; Magnoliopsida; Ericales; Actinidiaceae. The record is from RNAcentral.
AUAUGUGCUUCAUAGCUUCUACCUCGUUAAAUAUUAAACUAGAAGUUAUAGUUCUACUUAAAAUCCUUGACCCUAACAUUAAGCAAUAUUGGAACUCCCAAGAUUAUUGAUUAUUAUAAAAUAGAAUUUCCAAAACUAUAAUAUGUAUCAUGCAUUCUAUUUUGUAUACCUUAUAAUAAAGCUACAUUAAACACAUUUCCGAGCAUUGUUUCCAAUUACCAAAUUGUCACUUGUGG